UAAUACGUAGGGUGCAAGCGUUAUCCGGAAUUACUGGGUUUAAAGGGUGUGUAGGCGGUCUUUUAAGUCUGUGGUGAAAGGUUACAGCUCAACUGUAAAAGUGCCAUGGAUACUGGAAGACUUGAGUAAUAUAAAGGAAGGUGGAAUUCGUGGUGUAGCGGUGAAAUGCAUAGAUACCACGAGGAAGGCCGAUUGCGAAGGCAGCUUUCUGGAUAAUAACUGACGCUAAAACACGAAAGCGUGGGGAGCGAACAGGAUUAGAUACCCUGGUAGUCCACGCCGUAAACGAUGGAUACUCGGUGUGUGGUCUUCGGACUGCGUGCCUUAGCGAAAGUGUUAAGUAUCCCACCUGGGGAGUACGUCGGCAACGAUG
RNAcentral lists this ribosomal RNA (373 nucleotides) under uncultured Planctomycetota bacterium. RNAcentral describes it as "bacterial SSU rRNA". It matches the Rfam family "Bacterial small subunit ribosomal RNA", at positions 521 to 896 of the family's 1533-position model. The record is from RNAcentral. Lineage: Bacteria; Pseudomonadati; Planctomycetota.